AAGGAUCAUUAUAGUAUAUGGAAUCUCCAUUCUAUAAACCCACUCUGUGUAUCUUGUAACUGUUGCUUCCAUGGGACUUGGUCCUGCCACACCGGCUUCACGGCUGGUGAGCGCCCAUGGGAGGAGAAACAAAACUCUUCUUUGAAAUGUAGUCAGUCUGAACAAGUUUUUAUAAACGUUAAAACUUUCAACAACGGAUCUCUUGGUUCUC
RNAcentral lists this unclassified non-coding RNA (211 nucleotides) under uncultured fungus. Its description in RNAcentral is "partial contains 18S rRNA, ITS1, 5.8S rRNA, ITS2 and 28S rRNA". The record is from RNAcentral. Lineage: Eukaryota; Fungi.